Molecule: unclassified non-coding RNA, 200 nt
Filed under: Hevea brasiliensis (rubber tree)
Lineage: Eukaryota; Viridiplantae; Streptophyta; Magnoliopsida; Malpighiales; Euphorbiaceae
Source: RNAcentral
GGUCGUCAGGAUUUUGACUUCAACCUCUCCACCCGGUGCCGGAGUUAGAACGCGGGCGGCAAGUUCAAUCUGCAAACAGCCACCCAUGGUGCCGUGGACAGGUACGACGUCAAAGUAGAUGAACGGCGCGGNGUGGUCAAAUCCUCAUAGUUGAAAUGGUCAGCAGACUGCUUGGUCCUUUUAGGGCCAGACAUUGAAGA